GACCGGUGCUUGCACUGGUCAAUCUAGUGGCGAACGGGUGAGUAACACGUGGGUAACCUGCCCAUCAGAGGGGGAUAACAUUCGGAAACGGAUGCUAAAACCGCAUAGGUCUUCGAACCGCAUGGUUUGAAGAGGAAAAGAGGCGCAAGCUUCUGCUGAUGGAUGGACCCGCGGUGCAUUAGCUAGUUGGUGAGGUAACGGCUCACCAAGGCCGUGAUGCAUAGCCGACCUGAGAGGGUGAUCGGCCACAUUGGGACUGAGACACGGCCCAAACUCCUACGGGAGGCAGCAGUAGGGAAUCUUCCGCAAUGGACGCAAGUCUGACGGAGCAACGCCGCGUGAGUGAAGAAGGUUUUCGGAUCGUAAAACUCUGUUGUUAGAGAAGAACAAGUGCUAGAGUAACUGUUAGCGCCUUGACGGUAUCUAACCAGAAAGCCACGGCUAACUACGUGCCAGCAGCCGCGGUAAUACGUAGGUGGCAAGCGUUGUCCGGAUUUAUUGGGCGUAAAGCGAGCGCAGGCGGUUCCUUAAGUCUGAUGUGAAAGCCCCCGGCUCAACCGGGGAGGGUCAUUGGAAACUGGGGAACUUGAGUGCAGAAGAGGAGAGUGGAAUUCCAUGUGUAGCGGUGAAAUGCGUAGAUAUAUGGAGGAACACCAGUGGCGAAGGCGACUCUCUGGUCUGUAACUGACGCUGAGGCUCGAAAGCGUGGGUAGCAAACAGGAUUAGAUACCCUGGUAGU
RNAcentral lists this ribosomal RNA (739 nucleotides) under uncultured bacterium. Its description in RNAcentral is "bacterial SSU rRNA". It matches the Rfam family "Bacterial small subunit ribosomal RNA", at positions 71 to 794 of the family's 1533-position model. The record is from RNAcentral.